GAUGAAGAACGCAGCGAAAUGCGAUAAGUAAUGUGAAUUGCAGAAUUCAGUGAAUCAUCGAAUCUUUGAACGCACCUUGCACCCUUUGGCAUUCCGAAGGGUAUGCUCGUUUGAGUGUCAUUGUACUCUCACUCUCCCGAUGCUUUUGGAUCGGGAGUGGUGGACUUGGGUGUUGCUGCUUUGCUGUGGCUCGCCUCAAAUGGAGUAGUGCAACUCUUGGUUGGACAUAGUACGGCGUGAUAAGUGUCUUCGCCGGCGCCUCAUUAUAGAGGGUGGCCGAUCGGGAGCUCUGUGCUUCAAACCGUCUUCGGACAACAUCCGACAACUUGACCUCAAAUCGAGUAGGACUACCCGCUGAACUUAAGCAUAUCAAUAAGCGGAGGA
This 384-nucleotide unclassified non-coding RNA is filed under the name soil metagenome. RNAcentral describes it as "partial contains 5.8S ribosomal RNA, internal transcribed spacer 2, and large subunit ribosomal RNA". The stretch from base 1 to 120 matches the Rfam family "5.8S ribosomal RNA", at positions 35 to 154 of the family's 154-position model. The record is from RNAcentral.